UAGGGAAUCUUCCGCAAUGGGCGAAAGCCUGACGGAGCAACGCCGCGUGAGUGAUGAAGGUCUUCGGAUCGUAAAACUCUGUUAUUAGGGAAGAACAAAUGUGUAAGUAACUAUGCACGUCUUGACGGUACCUAAUCAGAAAGCCACGGCUAACUACGUGCCAGCAGCCGCGGUAAUACGUAGGUGGCAAGCGUUAUCCGGAAUUAUUGGGCGUAAAGCGCGCGUAGGCGGUUUUUUAAGUCUGAUGUGAAAGCCCACGGCUCAACCGUGGAGGGUCAUUUGAAACUGGAAAACUUGAGUGCAGAAGGGGAAAGGGGAAUUCCAUGUGUAGCAGUGAAAAGCGCAGAGAUAUGGAGGAACACCAGUGGCGAAGGCGACUUUCUGGUCUGUAACUGACGCUGAUGUGCGAAAGCGUGGGGAUCAAACAGG
This 429-nucleotide ribosomal RNA is filed under the name Actinomycetes bacterium. Its description in RNAcentral is "Actinobacteria bacterium partial 16S ribosomal RNA". It matches the Rfam family "Bacterial small subunit ribosomal RNA", at positions 355 to 776 of the family's 1533-position model. The record is from RNAcentral. Lineage: Bacteria; Bacillati; Actinomycetota; Actinomycetes.